This 492-nucleotide ribosomal RNA is filed under the name uncultured bacterium. Its description in RNAcentral is "partial 16S ribosomal RNA". It matches the Rfam family "Bacterial small subunit ribosomal RNA", at positions 29 to 507 of the family's 1533-position model. The record is from RNAcentral.
AGUGAACGCUGGCGGUAUGCCUAACACAUGCAAGUCGAACGGCAGCACAGUAAGAUCUUGCUCUUACGGGUGGCGAGUGGCGGACGGGUGAGGAAUACAUCGGAAUCUACUUUUUCUUGGGGGAUAACGGAGGGAAACUUACGCUAAUACCGCAUACGACCUACGGGUGAAAGCAGUGGAUCUUCGGACCUUUCGCGAUUGAAUGAGCCGAUGUCGGAUUUGCUAGUUGGCGGGGUAAAGUCCCGCCAAGCCAAGGAUCCGUAACGGGUCUGAGAGGAUGAUCAGCCACACUGGAACUGAGACACGGUCCAGACUCCUAAGGGAGGCAGCAGUGGGGAAUAUUGGACAAUGGGCGCAAGCCUGAUCCAGCCAUCCCGCGUGGGUGAAGAAGGCCUUCGGGUUGUAAAGCCCUUUUGUUGGGAAAGAAAAGCAGCAGGUUAAUACCCCGCUGUUCUGACGGUACCCAAAGAAUAAGCACCGGCUAACUUCGUG